This 590-nucleotide ribosomal RNA is filed under the name Enterobacter ludwigii. Its description in RNAcentral is "partial 16S ribosomal RNA". Lineage: Bacteria; Pseudomonadati; Pseudomonadota; Gammaproteobacteria; Enterobacterales; Enterobacteriaceae. The record is from RNAcentral.
UACUAGCGAUUCCGACUUCAUGGAGUCGAGUUGCAGACUCCAAUCCGGACUACGACGCACUUUAUGAGGUCCGCUUGCUCUCGCGAGGUCGCUUCUCUUUGUAUGCGCCAUUGUAGCACGUGUGUAGCCCUACUCGUAAGGGCCAUGAUGACUUGACGUCAUCCCCACCUUCCUCCAGUUUAUCACUGGCAGUCUCCUUUGAGUUCCCGGCCUAACCGCUGGCAACAAAGGAUAAGGGUUGCGCUCGUUGCGGGACUUAACCCAACAUUUCACAACACGAGCUGACGACAGCCAUGCAGCACCUGUCUCAGAGUUCCCGAAGGCACCAAAGCAUCUCUGCUAAGUUCUCUGGAUGUCAAGAGUAGGUAAGGUUCUUCGCGUUGCAUCGAAUUAAACCACAUGCUCCACCGCUUGUGCGGGCCCCCGUCAAUUCAUUUGAGUUUUAACCUUGCGGCCGUACUCCCCAGGCGGUCGACUUAACGCGUUAGCUCCGGAAGCCACGCCUCAAGGGCACAACCUCCAAGUCGACAUCGUUUACGGCGUGGACUACCAGGGGUAUCUAAUCCUGUUUGCUCCCCACGCUUUCCACC